UUCUUUUUCACCGGAGCUUGCUCCACCGGAAAAAGAAGAGUGGCGAACGGGUGAGUAACACGUGGGUAACCUGCCCAUCAGAAGGGGAUAACACUUGGAAACAGGUGCUAAUACCGUAUAACAAUCGAAACCGCAUGGUUUUGAUUUGAAAGGCGCUUUCGGGUGUCGCUGAUGGAUGGACCCGCGGUGCAUUAGCUAGUUGGUGAGGUAACGGCUCACCAAGGCCACGAUGCAUAGCCGACCUGAGAGGGUGAUCGGCCACAUUGGGACUGAGACACGGCCCAAACUCCUACGGGAGGCAGCAGUAGGGAAUCUUCGGCAAUGGACGAAAGUCUGACCGAGCAACGCCGCGUGAGUGAAGAAGGUUUUCGGAUCGUAAAACUCUGUUGUUAGAGAAGAACAAGGAUGAGAGUAACUGUUCAUCCCUUGACGGUAUCUAACCAGAAAGCCACGGCUAACUACGUGCCAGCAGCCGCGGUAAUACGUAGGUGGCAAGCGUUGUCCGGAUUUAUUGGGCGUAAAGCGAGCGCAGGCGGUUUCUUAAGUCUGAUGUGAAAGCCCCCGGCUCAACCGGGGAGGGUCAUUGGAAACUGGGAGACUUGAGUGCAGAAGAGGAGAGUGGAAUUCCAUGUGUAGCGGUGAAAUGCGUAGAUAUAUGGAGGAACACCAGUGGCGAAGGCGGCUCUCUGGUCUGUAACUGACGCUGAGGCUCGAAAGCGUGGGGAGCAAACAGGAUUAGAUACCCUGGUAGUCCACGCCGUAAACGAUGAGUGCUAAGUGUUGGAGGGUUUCCGCCCUUCAGUGCUGCAGCUAACGCAUUAAGCACUCCGCCUGGGGAGUACGACCGCAAGGUUGAAACUCAAAGGAAUUGACGGGGGCCCGCACAAGCGGUGGAGCAUGUGGUUUAAUUCGAAGCAACGCGAAGAACCUUACCAGGUCUUGACAUCCUUUGACCACUCUAGAGAUAGAGCUUCCCCUUCGGGGGCAAAGUGACAGGUGGUGCAUGGUUGUCGUCAGCUCGUGUCGUGAGAUGUUGGGUUAAGUCCCGCAACGAGCGCAACCCUUAUUGUUAGUUGCCAUCAUUUAGUUGGGCACUCUAGCAAGACUGCCGGUGACAAACCGGAGGAAGGUGGGGAUGACGUCAAAUCAUCAUGCCCCUUAUGACCUGGGCUACACACGUGCUACAAUGGGAAGUACAACGAGUCGCGAAGUCGCGAGGCUAAGCUAAUCUCUUAAAGCUUCUCUCAGUUCGGAUUGUAGGCUGCAACUCGCCUACAUGAAGCCGGAAUCGCUAGUAAUCGCGGAUCAGCACGCCGCGGUGAAUACGUUCCCGGGCCUUGUACACACCGCCCGUCACACCACGAGAGUUUGUAACACCCGAAGUC
Molecule: ribosomal RNA, 1385 nt
Filed under: Enterococcus durans
Lineage: Bacteria; Bacillati; Bacillota; Bacilli; Lactobacillales; Enterococcaceae
Description: bacterial SSU rRNA
Rfam family: Bacterial small subunit ribosomal RNA
Source: RNAcentral